RNAcentral lists this ribosomal RNA (253 nucleotides) under uncultured bacterium. RNAcentral describes it as "partial 16S ribosomal RNA". It matches the Rfam family "Bacterial small subunit ribosomal RNA", at positions 524 to 776 of the family's 1533-position model. The record is from RNAcentral.
UACGAAGGGGGCUAGCGUUGUUCGGAAUUAUUGGGCGUAAAGCGCACGUAGGCGGACCUUUAAGUCAGGGGUGAAAUCCCGGGGCUCAACCCCGGAACUGCCUUUGAUACUGGGUGUCUCGAGUCCGGAAGAGGUGAGUGGAAUUCCGAGUGUAGAGGUGAAAUUCGUAGAUAUUCGGAGGAACACCAGUGGCGAAGGCGGCUCACUGGUCCGGUACUGACGCUGAGGUGCGAAAGCGUGGGGAGCAAACAGG